This 245-nucleotide ribosomal RNA is filed under the name uncultured Prochlorales cyanobacterium. Its description in RNAcentral is "partial 16S ribosomal RNA". It matches the Rfam family "Bacterial small subunit ribosomal RNA", at positions 1138 to 1382 of the family's 1533-position model. The record is from RNAcentral. Lineage: Bacteria; Bacillati; Cyanobacteriota; Cyanophyceae; Chroococcales; Prochloraceae.
CUCUAGAGAGACCGCCGGUGAUAAACCGGAGGAAGGUGUGGAUGACGUCAAGUCAUCAUGCCCCUUACAUCCUGGGCUACACACGUACUACAAUGCUACGGACAAAGGGCAGCAAGUUCGCGAGGACAAGCAAAUCCCAUAAACCGUAGCUCAGUUCAGAUCGUAGGCUGCAACUCGCCUACGUGAAGGAGGAAUCGCUAGUAAUCGCAGGUCAGCAUACUGCGGUGAAUACGUUCCCGGGCCUU